AAAGACAAGUCUUAUUCUGUUACAUCGUUUAGGGCUGAAUUUAUAAUGGGGGGAAGGUUCUUAGAGGAGAACAGCUGUGCAUCCCUGGGAGUUGGGCAGAAACAAGCCAUACUUGUACACUUGUACACUCAGUUUAGGGAUAACUUGGGGUGUUUGGGCUUUAUCCUUUUAGGAUUAUUAAAUUAUAUGUCUGUAAGGAUGGUCAAUUUACAUUUGGCAAGAUAGUCCAAAUGGGAGGAAAUAAUGGCAAAUCCACUGAUGUCAUUGGUGCUGUCACCCAUGAGAAGGAAAGUUCCUACUCUCUCUGAGGUUCCUCUUGUCAUCUCUUAGACAGCUACAUAGAAAGUCAAUUCAGUUAAUAGGAACCUGUAGAUGAUUGUUAAUAUCCUCUGAUCUUGCCUCUAGUUACAUAAAUACUUAACAUGCCCUGGUUUUCUGUCUGCCCUCCUCAUUGAGAUUUUGUAAGAAUAGGUAUGUGGUGUUUGUUUCAAGUACGAACCCUUGGCAUGUUUUGUUUCUAAUAUUAUAUUAACAUCUUGCUAACAUAGGAUUGACUCAGUCAGCAUUGACACCCUUAUCUUCACUUUGGAGUUUACUAAUUGGAAGACACUUGCACCAGCUGUUGAAAGGAUGCUCUCUGCUCGUGCCUCAAACGCUUGGAUUCUACAGCAACAUAUUGCCACUGUUCCAUCCCUGACCCAUCUUUGUCGUUUGGAAAUUCGGUCCAGUCUAAAAUCAGAACGUCUACGGUCUGACAGUUAUAU
This 764-nucleotide long non-coding RNA is filed under the name Homo sapiens (human). RNAcentral's name for it is "non-protein coding lnc-GPR75-3:1". The record is from RNAcentral. Lineage: Eukaryota; Metazoa; Chordata; Mammalia; Primates; Hominidae.